GACUUGAUAGCUCAGUUGGUAGAGCACUGCACAGGUAUCACAGAGAUCAUGGGUUCGAAUCCCGUUCAAGCCU
Molecule: transfer RNA, 73 nt
Filed under: Desmophyllum pertusum
Lineage: Eukaryota; Metazoa; Cnidaria; Anthozoa; Scleractinia; Caryophylliidae
Description: Lophelia pertusa tRNA
Rfam family: tRNA
About the family: Transfer RNA (tRNA) molecules are approximately 80 nucleotides in length.
Source: Rfam by way of RNAcentral